Molecule: ribosomal RNA, 253 nt
Filed under: uncultured bacterium
Lineage: Bacteria
Description: partial 16S ribosomal RNA
Rfam family: Bacterial small subunit ribosomal RNA
Source: RNAcentral
UACGAAGGGGGCUAGCGUUGCUCGGAAUCACUGGGCGUAAAGGGCGCGUAGGCGGCCAUUCAAGUCGGAGGUGAAAGCCCAGGGCUCAACCCUGGAAUUGCCUUCGAUACUGUUUGGCUAGAGACCGGAAGAGGUAAGUGGAACUGCGAGUGUAGAGGUGAAAUUCGUAGAUAUCGGGAGGAACACCAAUGGCGAAGGCAGCUCGCUGGGACGUUACUGACGCUGAGACGCGAAAGCGUGGGGAGCAAACAGG